GCAAGAUUUGCCAAACACCUAGAUAAAUCACUGCUCUCCCUGUUCCAAGCGCGUGUACCGGGUGGGGGCAUGUGGUCACAGGAGCGUGAUCGCUACCCACUCACUUACCCAUAACUGAAGCGCCGUAAUCCACUGCAAGUCCAGGGUUUGGGAUAUGGUUGGCGUCCAGCUUUCCGACUGUCAACAGCUCAGGGUGUUCCUGUGAAGCAUCGUGCGAUGGAUUCCUGUGUCCUGACUCGAUCUAUGGGGAAGAACGAAAUCCCUCAUAACUUAGAGAUUGUUCUGAAGUGAGUGUUUCUGCAACAAACUGUUUGUCUGCCAUCAGACAGAUCGAGCCAGUGCUGUGCACAUCAGUUUAAAUACAAUGUAUGUACAUUGUGUAAUAAAAUAUUUGCGUCGA
Molecule: long non-coding RNA, 400 nt
Organism: Haliotis rufescens (red abalone)
Lineage: Eukaryota; Metazoa; Mollusca; Gastropoda; Lepetellida; Haliotidae
Exons: 4
Source: RefSeq, a predicted model, not a curated record